GACGAACGCUGGCGGCGUGCUUAACACAUGCAAGUCGUGCGGUAAGGCCCUUUCGGGGUUCCCGGACCGGCGAAGGGUUGAGUAACACUUGGGCAACCUGCCCUUCCUUUUGGGUAAACGGCCGGAACGGGGGGCAAAUACCGGAAAUACCUCCUUCACCCAUGGGGGGUGGUGGAAGGCCUUCGGGUGGUGGGGGAUGGGCUCGCGGUCUAUCAGUUUGUUGGUGGGGGGAUGGCCUACCAAGGCUUCGACGGGUAGCCGGCCUGAGAGGGUGACCGGCCACACUGGGACUGAGACACGGCCCAGACUCCUACGGGAGGCAGCAGUGGGGAAUAUUGGACAAUGGGCGAAAGCCUGAUCCAGCAACGCCGCGUGAGGGAUGACGGCCUUCGGGUUGUAAACCUCUUUCGCCUGCGACGAAGCGAGAGUGACGGUAGCAGGUAAAGAAGCACCGGCCAACUACGUG
This 466-nucleotide ribosomal RNA is filed under the name uncultured bacterium. Its description in RNAcentral is "partial 16S ribosomal RNA". It matches the Rfam family "Bacterial small subunit ribosomal RNA", at positions 28 to 507 of the family's 1533-position model. The record is from RNAcentral.